Molecule: long non-coding RNA, 2192 nt
Organism: Anguilla rostrata (American eel)
Lineage: Eukaryota; Metazoa; Chordata; Actinopteri; Anguilliformes; Anguillidae
Exons: 3
Source: RefSeq, a predicted model, not a curated record
UGACGUUACAUAUUAGCUUACCCGUUUUUAUACGGUCUAUGAGGCUUCUCCGGCAUUACCGCAGAGCAGGAAAACUGCAUUUUUCGCAUCUACCACAAGCGUCAGAAGUAGCCAAGCAAACAUAUCGCAAAUCUGAAAUAUGCACUUUCCAAACGACGAAUUCUGAACGUUUUAUCGAACUUUAAUGCACACCAUUUUCUUCGCAACAGUUGAAAUGUUUCCAUGGUUGCCCUUAACGCUAUGGAUAGACCGUUCACCUCAGUUUCAACACUGUUGAAUGCGAUGGCAGUGGAUUACCUGGAAAAAACCUCCACCAUACCCUGAUUGCAUGCCAACCUUUGAUUACAGACCCCUGUCAACGUUUAAUGAGAAGCUCGAGGGAAUAAGCCACAGCUGGAGUGGGCUGACUGAUCUGGAGCAAUGACACAAAUUCACGAAGGAGAAACUUAUACUUUGUAAGUUGAGACAAAGCUGCUCCACCCACGAGUGCCUUUGCACACACAAGUGAUUACCCGCGCAUCUGUUGUGCUGGACAAAACAAUAAUGCGACGAUGAAACAAAGUCCGAAAGUCUUGUUUUCUUUCUGUCUUUCUUUCUUUUUUUUUGCUUGCUCAUCUCCAUGACCCUGUCUCUAUUUACUAUGAACAAUCGUCCUGCCCAAAGCCAGCUUUCUUUGCUGAAUUAUUGUGGCUACUUGCGCAAUCAAGUUACUUCAAUUAAAUGACUUUCAUACGGUAGUCACAGGGUAUGGAACAAUGCUAGACUGCUCAAUCUAGGAAGAAAGAACUAAGGAUCACUUACUGGGUUAACAACAGAACAACAUUCUGUUAGGAGAAACUUCAGUCUGCCAAACCUCAGCAUGAGGUCAAUCCAAACAUGAAAAUCUGUCUAUUUAUUGAAAGCUCACACUGCAAGUACUCCACGGUAGUUUUUUGGGUGUGUUUGUGUGUGUGUAUGUGUAAGAAACUAUCUAGAUCCUGGAGGCUGUAGAUCGUGUAAUGUGUCCCAUCAAAAAACAAAAAUAACAAAAUAAUCCACUGAGACAUGAAAGUUAAUGCUACCCAUGUUUGAGUAGUUUUCUAUUGGUCAUCAUACAAAAAUCAUACAUUUUGCAGCAAUUUUGAUUUUAGAAAAAGUCUAAUCUUAUGUUGAAUGUGCCAGUCAGUUUUAUUUUACGUCUCAUUUCACACGAGCGAAUGUGAAGGACUUCUGUUCUCUCAGGAUUCGCUCCCUGAAAGAGCCGUGUAGCUUUCAGUCACUGGAAUAGUCCACGCUGAACUGGGUCUUCGUAAUCCUGUCUUCUGUUUAAACACGGCCUUGUAACCGAUGAAGCAAUCAAAGUAGAGAAAGGCUGGGAAGACAUCUGCUCAUAAAACAGGAAAAAUUUCUCACGAUUGUCUUUUCAUCCACGGAAUAGGAAAUCUAAUGGACUAGAAAAUAAGAUAUAACCUCGCCACCGUAUGGACUUUAAGAAACUUUUGUUCACUGCAAAAUAUGAGUAAACAACUCAAUUUAAAAAAACUAGUUCUAGCUUCCAGAUAUUCCACAGUAUAGACAUGGCAACAUUUACAUACAUGCUUAGCAUUGUAUGUUUUAAGUUAUCUAUGUGUGGCUCUGCUUCUUAUUACAUGCUUCAUAAAAGCCUGUUUAGGUGCAUGUAUCUGCGCUGGUUUUCUUUGCUGAGGUACUGUCGCACUGGUCUGGUGUUUGGUUGUGGGUUUUUGACAGUAGCAGCAGUGUGCUCUGAAUUUUUGUCUGUAGGCCUGUAGGACCCUUUUCUCGGUUGUGUAGAGCUUUUUAUCCUGUAGGGCUGUAUGGCUUUUUUUUUCUGUAGAACUUUUUUUCCUGUAAUGCUGUUGGGCUUUUUUCCUGUAGUGCUGUUCGGCUUUUUUCCCUGUGGUACUGUUGGGCUUUUUUCCUGUAGUGCUGUUGGGCUUUUUUCCCUGUGGUACUGUUGGGCUUUUUUCCUGUAGUGCUGUUGGGCUUUUUUCCUGUUGGGCUAUUUUCAGAUUGUGUCACUGUGCUCUCGGGUGUGUCGGUGUUGAGUGACUUGGUUUCAUAGUAAAAAUAAAUAAAUAAAAGAUCUCAGCACUAUGCCUUCGUUUCUUGUACAUGCAGCUGAUGUUUCAAAUGUUUAAUCCUGAAAGAGUCCACUGGUAAGUUAAAUUUUUUUUUUUAAUUUCACUUAGAGA